GACGAACGCUGGCGGCGUGCCUAAUACAUGCAAGUAGAACGCACAGGAUGCACCGUAGUUUACUACACCGUAUUCUGUGAGUUGCGAACGGGUGAGUAACGCGUAGGUAACCUGCCUGGUAGUGGGGGAUAACUAUUGGAAACGAUAGCUAAUACCGCAUAAGAACAUUUACUGCAUGGUAGAUGUUUAAAAGGUGCAAAAGCAUCACUACCAGAUGGACCUGCGUUGUAUUAGCUAGUUGGUGAGGUAACGGCUCACCAAGGCAACGAUACAUAGCCGACCUGAGAGGGUGAUCGGCCACACUGGGACUGAGACACGGCCCAGACUCCUACGGGAGGCAGCAGUAGGGAAUCUUCGGCAAUGGGGGGGAACCCCUGACCGAGCAAACGCCGCGUGAGUGAAGAAGGUUUUCGGAUCG
Molecule: ribosomal RNA, 418 nt
Filed under: Streptococcus constellatus
Lineage: Bacteria; Bacillati; Bacillota; Bacilli; Lactobacillales; Streptococcaceae
Description: bacterial SSU rRNA
Rfam family: Bacterial small subunit ribosomal RNA
Source: RNAcentral